RNAcentral lists this ribosomal RNA (1524 nucleotides) under Triticum aestivum (bread wheat). RNAcentral describes it as "partial small subunit ribosomal RNA". Lineage: Eukaryota; Viridiplantae; Streptophyta; Magnoliopsida; Poales; Poaceae. The record is from RNAcentral.
AUGGACAACGAUGCAUACUACUAUUUGUUAGUAGCUCUUUUUCCCCUUGUAUACUUGAUGAUGAUCUAUAGAGGUUCCCUUAACUCUAGCAAUGGCGCUCUUCGGCUCCCUCCUGGCCCAUGGCAGCUCCCUGUCAUCGGCAGCCUCCACCAUCUCCUAGGCGCCCUGCCACACCGUGCCUUACGGAACCUCUCUCAACGCCAUGGGCCUCUCAUGCUCCUCAGGUUCGGCGAGGUUCCGGUGAUCGUCGCCUCCACGGCGGAAGCUUCCAAAGAGAUCACCAAGACGUACGACCACAUCUUCUGCACUAGGCCGCUGAGCGCGUCCGCCAAGGUCCUCAGCGAGCGCGGCAAGGGGGUCGCGUUCGCCCCGUACGGUGGCGAAUGGCGGCAGCUUCGUAAGAUCUGCAUCCUGGAGCUGCUCGGCGCCAGGAACAUCACUUCUUUCCGGCCCAUCCGCGAGGAGGAGGUGACCCGGCUCAUCCGGUCCAUCGUCGACGACUCAUCCGAGUCGUCGGAGGUGGUGAACCUGAGUAAGAUGCUCGCCACAUACGUGACGCAUGCGACGGUGCACUGCAUCAUGGGUGGCCGGUUUAAGGAGCACGACACGUUGCUACACUAUGUCGAUGAGGCGGUCGAGGUCGUCGGUGGCUUCACCUUGCCCGACCUGUUUCCAUCGUCGAGGCUAGUGCGCGCCCUCAGCGGCACGUUGCACAGGGCCGAGGUGUUUCGAGACUCCGUGCUAGCGUUCAUUGGACACGUCAUCGAUGAGCAUCUCGACAGGAGAUCCUCGGAGGAAGCACACCAGGAACAAGACAUCAUCGAUGUCCUCUUGAGGAUCCAGAGAGAUGGCGACCUUCAGUUCCCCCUCACCAUGGACAACCUCAAAGUGGUGAUUUUCGAUCUUUUUGCCGCGGGGAGCGAGGCGCCAGCUACAAUUCUACAGUGGGCCAUGGCGGAGUUGAUGCGAAGGCCGAGCACCAUGUCUAGGGCACAAGCUGAGGUCAGGGGAGCAUUCAUGGGGCAAAAGAAGGUAACCGAGGAGGGUCUAGGCGAGCUGAGCUACUUGCAUUGUAUCAUCAAGGAGACCUUGCGAUUGCACCCACCUGGGCCAUUCUUGCUGCCCAAGCAGUGCCAGGAACAGUGCAAAAUUCUCGGCUACGACGUGCCCAAAGGCACUACGGUCCUGCUGAAUGCUUGGGCUAUCUCUAGGGACCCGGAAUACUGGGACGAACCGGAUGCAUUCGUUCCGGAUAGAUUCUUGGCUAGCGCGACAGACUAUAAAGGCAACUGCUUUGAGUUUAUACCGUUCGGCGCCGGGCGUCGGAUUUGCCCUGGGAUGCUGUUUGGGAUCGCCAUUGCGGAGCUUGCUCUCGCAAGCCUUCUUUUUCAUUUCGAUUGGACUCUCCCAGAUGGCACUUCUCCUGGUGAUAUUGACAUGACAGAGACCAUGGGAAUCACUGCUAGGAAGAAGGAGGAUCUGCAGUUGCAUGCGACUCUCCACCUACAGCCUGCGGAAACUUAG